GAGUGAAGAUGAGAUUGAGAGGGAAGAUGAGAGGGGAGGAUGGAAGGGAGGAGUAACAAAAGUGAAAAUAAAAAUUAAAAACUAAAAAUCUAUUUGGAAUUGUUUUCACUUUCAAGUGUUUGUUUUCACUUUUGUUACUCCUUCCUCCCAUCCUCUCCUCUCAUUCUCUCUCUCAAUCUCAUCCUUACUCC
RNAcentral lists this small nucleolar RNA (191 nucleotides) under Prunus dulcis (almond). RNAcentral describes it as "sRNA ncRNA". The record is from RNAcentral. Lineage: Eukaryota; Viridiplantae; Streptophyta; Magnoliopsida; Rosales; Rosaceae.